This 253-nucleotide ribosomal RNA is filed under the name uncultured bacterium. Its description in RNAcentral is "partial 16S ribosomal RNA". It matches the Rfam family "Bacterial small subunit ribosomal RNA", at positions 524 to 776 of the family's 1533-position model. The record is from RNAcentral.
GACAGAGGAUGCAAGCGUUAUCCGGAAUGAUUGGGCGUAAAGCGUCUGUAGGUGGCUUUUUAAGUCCGCCGUCAAAUCCCAGGGCUCAACCCUGGACAGGCGGUGGAAACUACCAAGCUGGAGUACGGUAGGGGCAGAGGGAAUUUCCGGUGGAGCGGUGAAAUGCGUAGAGAUCCGGAAGAACACCGGUGGCGAAGGCGGCCUGCUGGGCAGUAGCUGACACUGAGGCGCGACAGCGUGGGUAGCAAACAGG